Molecule: ribosomal RNA, 465 nt
Filed under: Vreelandella stevensii
Lineage: Bacteria; Pseudomonadati; Pseudomonadota; Gammaproteobacteria; Oceanospirillales; Halomonadaceae
Description: partial 16S ribosomal RNA
Rfam family: Bacterial small subunit ribosomal RNA
Source: RNAcentral
CCUACGGGGGGCAGCAGUGGGGAAUAUUGGACAAUGGGGGCAACCCUGAUCCAGCCAUGCCGCGUGUGUGAAGAAGGCCCUCGGGUUGUAAAGCACUUUCAGUGAGGAAGAACGCCUGGUGGUGAAUACCCAUCAGGAAAGACAUCACUCACAGAAGAAGCACCGGCUAACUCCGUGCCAGCAGCCGCGGUAAUACGGAGGGUGCGAGCGUUAAUCGGAAUUACUGGGCGUAAAGCGCGCGUAGGUGGCUUGAUAAGCCGGUUGUGAAAGCCCCGGGCUCAACCUGGGAACGGCAUCCGGAACUGUCAAGCUAGAGUGCAGGAGAGGAAGGUAGAAUUCCCGGUGUAGCGGUGAAAUGCGUAGAGAUCGGGAGGAAUACCAGUGGCGAAGGCGGCCUUCUGGACUGACACUGACACUGAGGUGCGAAAGCGUGGGUAGCAAACAGGAUUAGAUACCCUAGUAGUC